This 613-nucleotide ribosomal RNA is filed under the name uncultured bacterium. Its description in RNAcentral is "bacterial SSU rRNA". The stretch from base 1 to 534 matches the Rfam family "Bacterial small subunit ribosomal RNA", at positions 338 to 873 of the family's 1533-position model. The record is from RNAcentral.
CCUACGGGAGGCAGCAGUAAGGAAUAUUGGUCAAUGGACGCAAGUCUGAACCAGCCAUGCCGCGUGAAGGAUUAAGGCCCUCCGGGUUGUAAACUUCUUUUAUAGGGGACGAAAAAGGGCAUUCUUGCUCACUUGACGGUACCCUAGGAAUAAGCACCGGCUAACUCCGUGCCAGCAGCCGCGGUAAUACGGAGGGUGCAAGCGUUAUCCGGAUUUACUGGGUUUAAAGGGUGCGUAGGUGGGUUGGUAAGUCAGUGGUGAAAUCUUCGAGCUUAACUCGGAAACUGCCAUUGAUACUAUCAAUCUUGAAUCAUCUAGAGGUAAGCGGAAUAUGUCAUGUAGCGGUGAAAUGCUUAGAUAUGACAUAGAACACCAAUUGCGAAGGCAGCUUACUAUGGAUGUAUUGACACUGAGGCACGAAAGCGUGGGGAUCAAACAGGAUUAGAUACCCUGGUAGUCCACGACCUAACGAUAGAUACUACGACAUUGUGUAUAUACUAUAAGUAGUCUGAGNGAAGANAUAAGUAUACCACCGACGGAGACGAACCGCGAGUUAGAAGUACAAUUAGAAGUUGAGGCGNGAGAGNGCGACGGACGACGACGAGGGAGGAGG